Molecule: ribosomal RNA, 749 nt
Filed under: bacterium enrichment culture clone 2-44
Lineage: Bacteria
Description: bacterial SSU rRNA
Rfam family: Bacterial small subunit ribosomal RNA
Source: RNAcentral
UAGAGUUUGAUCCUGGCUCAGAUUGAACGCUGGCGGCAUGCCUUACACAUGCAAGUCGAACGGCAGCGCGGACUUCGGUCUGGCGGCGAGUGGCGAACGGGUGAGUAAUACAUCGGAACGUACCCUGUUGUGGGGGAUAACUAGUCGAAAGAUUAGCUAAUACCGCAUACGACCUGAGGGUGAAAGUGGGGGACCGCAAGGCCUCACGCAGCAGGAGCGGCCGAUGUCUGAUUAGCUAGUUGGUGGGGUAAAGGCCCACCAAGGCGACGAUCAGUAGCUGGUCUGAGAGGACGAUCAGCCACACUGGGACUGAGACACGGCCCAGACUCCUACGGGAGGCAGCAGUGGGGAAUUUUGGACAAUGGGGGCAACCCUGAUCCAGCAAUGCCGCGUGUGUGAAGAAGGCCUUCGGGUUGUAAAGCACUUUUGUCCGGAAAGAAAUCGCGCUGGUUAAUACCUGGCGUGGAUGACGGUACCGGAAGAAUAAGCACCGGCUAACUACGUGCCAGCAGCCGCGGUAAUACGUAGGGUGCGAGCGUUAAUCGGAAUUACUGGGCGUAAAGCGUGCGCAGGCGGUUUUGUAAGACAGGCGUGAAAUCCCCGGGCUUAACCUGGGAAUUGCGCUUGUGACUGCAAGGCUAGAGUGCGUCAGAGGGGGGUAGAAUUCCACGUGUAGCAGUGAAAUGCGUAGAGAUGUGGAGGAAUACCGAUGGCGAAGGCAGCCCCCUNNNACGUGACUGACGCUCAUG